GACGAACGCUGGCGGCGUGCUUAACACAUGCAAGUCGAACGGAAAGGCCCUGCUUUUGUGGGGUGCUCGAGUGGCGAACGGGUGCGUAACACGUGAGUAACCUGCCCUUGACUUUGGGAUAACUUCAGGAAACUGGGGCUAAUACCGGAUAGGAGCUCCUGCUGCAUGGUGGGGGUUGGAAAGUUUCGGCGGUUGGGGAUGGACUCGCGGCUUAUCAGCUUGUUGGUGGGGUAGUGGCUUACUAAGGCUUUGACGGGUAGCCGGCCUGAGAGGGUGACCGGCCACAGUGGGACUGAGAUACGGCCCAGACGCCUACGGGAGGCAGCAGUGGGGGAUAGUGCACGAUGGGCGGAAGCCUGAUGCAGCAACGCCGCGUGCGGGAUGACGGCCUUCGGGUUGUAAACCGCUUUCGCCUGUGACGAAGCGUGAGUGACGGUAAUGGGUAAAGAAGCACCGGCUAACUACGUG
Molecule: ribosomal RNA, 468 nt
Filed under: uncultured bacterium
Lineage: Bacteria
Description: partial 16S ribosomal RNA
Rfam family: Bacterial small subunit ribosomal RNA
Source: RNAcentral